AGAAACUUAGGAUAGACCAAAACCGAAGGCCUUCAAAGCCUUAAACAAGAGUUAAACCCUCUUAGUUUCUG
RNAcentral lists this transfer RNA (71 nucleotides) under Amaurornis phoenicurus (white-breasted waterhen). RNAcentral describes it as "tRNA-Trp". It matches the Rfam family "tRNA". From Rfam's summary of the family: Transfer RNA (tRNA) molecules are approximately 80 nucleotides in length. Their secondary structure includes four short double-helical elements and three loops (D, anti-codon, and T loops). The record is from RNAcentral. Lineage: Eukaryota; Metazoa; Chordata; Aves; Gruiformes; Rallidae.